AGAGUUUGAUCCUGGCUCAGAACGAACGCUGGCGGCGCGUCUUAAGCAUGCAAGUCGAAUGGCAAGAUAGAGCUUGCUCUAUCCUAGAAUGGCGGACUGGUGAGUAACGCGUGGGUGACGUACCCUUUAGCUGGGGAUAGCUCCUAGAAAUAGGAGAUAAUACCGAAUAAGCUGUGUGUUGUUAGAGGGCACACAGGAAAGUAUCUUUUGAUACACUGAAGGAACGGCCCGCGUACUAUUAGCUAGUUGGUGAGGUAACGGCCCACCAAGGCGAUGAUAGUUAUCCGGACUAAGAGGUUGAUCGGACACAUUGGGACUGAGAUACGGCCCAGACUCCUACGGGAGGCAGCAGCUAAGAAUAUUCCGCAAUGGACGAAAGUCUGACGGAGCGACGCCGCGUGGAUGAUGAAGGCCGGAAGGUUGUAAAAUCCUUUUAUAACUGAGGAAUAAGUAUUAUCAGACAAAGGUAGUAUGGUGACUGUAGGUUAUGAAUAAGCAACGGCUAAUUACGUGCCAGCAGCCGCGGUAACACGUAAGUUGCGAGCGUUGUUCGGAAUUAUUGGGCGUAAAGGGCAUGUAGGCGGUUUUGCAAGCUUGGUGUGAAAUCCUCGGAGCUCAACUCCGGAAUUGCGUUGAGAACUGCAUAACUAGAGUCACUGAGGGGCAAUCAGAAUUCCAGGUGUAGGGGUGAAAUCUGUAGAUAUCUGGAAGAAUCCCAAUGGCGAAGGCAGGUUACCAGCAGAUGACUGACGCUGAGGUGCGAAGGUGCGGGGAGCAAACAGGAUUAGAUACCCUGGUAGUCCGCACAGUCA
This 812-nucleotide ribosomal RNA is filed under the name uncultured bacterium. RNAcentral's name for it is "bacterial SSU rRNA". It matches the Rfam family "Bacterial small subunit ribosomal RNA", at positions 8 to 805 of the family's 1533-position model. The record is from RNAcentral.